AUAAACAACACAAAUAUAUGGAAUCCUAAAGCAAAUAUGUGAAUGGUUCCAAAGAAAGAACAAGACUAGAGCCAUGAAAACAACAUGGUUUGGACUUGAAAAUGAGAUAAUAAAGAAUAACACAGGGAGAACAAAUAAAAGAAAUAAGAUAGGUAGGACCAAUAAACUUAGCCUUUGUAGAACCAAAUCUCUUGAUACCAAAUGAUAGACUCCUCCUUAAGCUAGGUUGGGCCAAAACAGGAAGAUGAGACCAUGAAGGUGAGGUUGACGCGAAUGUAAGGGGUGGAUGGAGAGAAUGCUCUCGGUUUAUGAAUGUUUGUGGUAGGAUGAAGGUGUUUGGUGGUUCUCUUGAGAGGUUGGGCCAACUCUAGAGAAGGGUGCUGAAAGGAGAUCACAUGGGAUGCUCUAGCCUUGACUUGAGAAAAUAUAUGAUUGGACAAAUAUUUUGGCAGCAUAACAUUAUAAUUCUCAAAGUAGGUUUACAAGAGAGGAGAUACCUUUAUUUAUAAAUGAAGGUGUCUCCAAAGUAAACCAAAAUCCUAAAAUG
This 547-nucleotide long non-coding RNA is filed under the name Vigna radiata. RNAcentral's name for it is "long non-coding RNA (VRAD_LNC014355)". The record is from RNAcentral. Lineage: Eukaryota; Viridiplantae; Streptophyta; Magnoliopsida; Fabales; Fabaceae.